GUGCCAGCCGCCGCGGUAAUACCGGCAGCCCGAGUGAUGGCCGAUCUUAUUGGGCCUAAAGCGUCCGUGGCUGGCCGCGCAAGUCCAUCGGGAAAUCCACCUGCUCAACAGGUGGGCGCCCGGUAGAAACUGUGCGGCUUGGGACCGGAAGGCGCGACGGGUACGUCCGGGGUAGGAGUGAAAUCCCGUAAUCCUGGACGGACCACCGAUGGCGAAAGCACUUCGAGAAAACGGAUCCGACAGUGAGGGACGAAAGCCAGGGUCUCCAACCGGAUUAGAAACCCCAGUAGUCC
Molecule: ribosomal RNA, 293 nt
Filed under: uncultured bacterium
Lineage: Bacteria
Description: partial 16S ribosomal RNA
Rfam family: Archaeal small subunit ribosomal RNA
Source: RNAcentral